Molecule: long non-coding RNA, 4010 nt
Filed under: Sus scrofa (pig)
Lineage: Eukaryota; Metazoa; Chordata; Mammalia; Artiodactyla; Suidae
Description: lncRNA (ENSSSCG00040038692.1)
Source: RNAcentral
CCCUGAGAUUCAUGUUUUCAUUGCUUGUUUGAUACAGUGGCAGAAAACCAAAGUGACAGUGAUAUUAACCAGUUCUGAGUGGUCAUUCUCACUCAUCAUCAAACCAAGGCCUGGGCUGGCUCACUCCUAGAGUGUGUACAUGCUGAAAUUGGACACUUGGGGUUCACAAGGUUUAGAUAAGCUAUUUGGAUGACUACCACAUGAUGGGUCAAGGACAGUCAUGAAUUCUGAGGGGCAUCUGCUAGAAGGUCACAGAACUCCAGAACUGGGCAGCAAGGCUCUCAGAAGCCUUUAGUUGUGGUUUAAACUAUACUUUGAGGAACCCUCAGAAGAAGCCAGGAGGAGUCCUCUUUCACCUGAAGGGCUGUUCCUCCUGCAUGUGAUUGAUUUAUUUACAUGAUGAUGGAAGAUUUUGUCUGAAUAACAACAUCCAUGACUAAAGCAAACUUGGAAAUCCACUUAUCUCAUCCAAAUCCUUUAUAUUCUGGUGAAGGCCUGAGAAGAGGAGCCAUAAGCCUUCCAAACUUAGAGGCAUUUUAGGUUCUGGGAGAGAGAUGAUUUCUUUCACAAGAGGAGAGAAGGGGAGCUACUGUCAUGGCUCAGUGGUUAACAAACCUGACUAGUAUCCUUGAGGAUGUGGGUUCGAUCCCUGGCCUUGCUCAGUGGGUUAAGGAUCUGGCGUUGCCGUGAGCUAUGGUGUAGGCUGCAGACAAGGUUGGGAUCCUGAGUUGCUAUGGCUGUGGUAUAGGCCAGCAGCUACAGCUCCAAUUCAGCCCCUAGCCUGAGAAGGUCCAUAUGCUGUGGGUACAGCCCUAAAAAGACAAAAGAGGGGAGAAGGGUAAAAAACUAAAACAAAAUAAUGACAUCUAUGUCUACAUAUAUAAUCUCUAUCAUUUACCUUUGUACUGCUUGGUGAUUCUUACAGCCAGGAGAUGUGAAUUAGAUCUGUCUGUAUCCUUCCUGUGGUCAAGAUCACCUUCCUAUUAGACUGAGGGUCAGGUUUAUCUUCCAGCUUCUUUCUAUACCUUUGUGUGUGUGUGUGUGUGUGUGUGUGUGUGUGUGUGCCACUCCCUGCUUUCGAUACUGGCUUCCUUCAGCCUCAGUUGCUGUCCUAUGCCUCCAGGGUUCCUAAAGCAGAAGUGGUGGCCAGGUCUCUUUCCUGGCUAUGACACUGUCUCAAGAGGGGACUCCAUGUUUCCAUCUACUCGGUGUUUCCUUCUAGGAGCAACUUGAGUCUGGUUCUGUUCAGCAUCCUCAGAGAACUUUGUACAAUGCUUCUCAGAUAGGAAAUACUCUGUAAUGUUUGCUGAUUUGCAUCCAUUACUAAAAUUUACAGCAGGGAGAAGGCCCUUGUGAGAUCCUACCAGUUCAUUUUUUUGUUGUUGUUGGUUAUCCAAAGAACACAUUUUUCAAAUCCUAAUUAUCUCACCACUGGAUGGGAAAUAGACACCAUCCCAACUCCCAGGCAAAUACCUUUUCUGGAUGACCCUGGCAGCGUCCCAGGAAUGAGCUCAUUUUUCAGAAGGGGAUUCUUCUCCCAAACAACAAACCCCUGCUUUGGGGAAGAGAACAAGAAAUUCCUUUGGGAUUUCUCUUCUCAAUCUUCUAGAGAGCCAGUCUUCUGCAGGCAGAGAUGGCUUCCAGGCUGUUCAUACAUAAACUGCUGCUGGCGGGCUGGUGGCCUGUUUGAUAUUCUGAGGUCUAGCAAAGAUUUAGCUCCCGGGGGUCACCAAGAGGUCAUGGUCUCAAUGAUUUCCUCUGUUAUUUAUCUUUGGCUUGUGGUAUUGGAGCUUGCCUUUGAUAGAGGGCAUUUCUACCACAACUGCACAGAAUCAAGCACUUCAGUGCUUUGGUUUGAGGUGGAGAAGGGUUGGCUUCUAAUGCUCUGAAUAUGUCCCUGAGUACAUCUGAGAGUAUCUAAUUCUGCCCUUUUCUGAUGAGCAAAUUUAUUUGGGGAGCGGGGGGGGCUUCCAAGGCUCAGGUUAGGAAAGGAAUUGUCCUGGUGAGGUCAGCAGUUUUUAGUUUGAGUAAUUCCAUUUUCAGUUCCUUAAGAGAUACUCCUCUUGCUAUGAGACAGAGAUGAAAGCAGCACUUCUUAGGCCUCUGGGGUGCGUCGUUACUUUCCUGAACUGCUUAUGACUCACUUGCCACCGCCCUCAAUGCAGCCAGGGGACCAUUUAUGCUGAACCAGCCUUUGGAUUUCUCUUCUUAAUGACAGCAAACUUGUGUGGCCAGCUCACAGGUCAACUGCUGGAGCAUCCCAGGACUGGUCAGCUCAGCAGGCUCUUGGGUUUCCCAGGAGGACUCCUCAGCGUGUUUCAUGUGGGUUUGCUAACCCCAUCCUGUUUCAUUAUGAUUUAAGACAACCGUUAUCUCUCAUCUGGGUCAGAAAGUAUGAGUUGCCUAGGAUUUCAACCAUACAUGAGGGGCCUGAAUUAAACACCUAGCAUCGUGGCCUGAAAAACUGGUUGCAACAUGUCCUGUGCUCUCAUUCCCUCAAAAAGUAUCUCACCAAAUGGAAGCAUUUGGUUCUAGAAGUUCCUUUCUGUGUGCUGCUCCAUCUCUGCCACAGAGUGCCAGGACAGACAGUGUGCUGAGCUAUGUCGGGUCUGUCAAAGAAAAUGAUGUGAUGUGUGCUGAAGACAUUGCCAUCUGUGGGAGAAUGCAAUCUAGGCUCGACACAGAAGGAAAAGGAAGUGCUGUUACGUCAGGAAUAUGACCAGUUAGUCAAAUUCCCAGAACAGCCUGUUGCUUCUUACGGUGGCGGAUGUGUCCCAGCCUCUUAGCAGCCCCAGAUUUGAACUAAGGGAGAACUGUUAGGUAUAGGGGCUAGACAGGAAAGAGGAGUGAUAUGUUUUACAUAUUUUCUGGCAGUGGAUUUCUAUAUGAAAUCCAGUUUACUUAGUGUCCUAGGGCACUGAAACAAAAGUUUUAUGAAACAAUACCUAUAUGUCACCAUGUUAUUUUCUUUUUCUGUUCUUUUCCCAUUCUUUGCUAUUUUAAUUUAAAAAAUUCUCAGCUCUCUAAAUUGCUAUUAUGAGCCACUUAUAGGUCAAAGCCCAUAUUUCAAACAACAGCACAGCAUUAGCAUAUAUAAGCAGCAUCCUAGGAAAUUUUAUAUAAUAUGGAUCCCUGGGCCUUUCUCCAGAAAUUCUAAUGUAUCCAGUCUCAGGGCCACCAGAUUUGCAUUUUAUAUUAUGAAAUUCUAAUUUGACCAGUGUGAGAACAGGGAAGUGUUUUGAUCUUUGAUAUAUCCCAAGUGUUUUGAAUGGAGACCCUGAUACAGAAUAGACACUUGAUCAAUGUUGGCUGGAUAAAUGAAUGAAUGAAAAAGUCUACCUAGUGAUUUAAAUUCAAGUGGCCUAGAGAUUACCAUUGUGUUUGAUUUGUCUUCAAUUGUCUUAUUGGAGUUCCUGUCAUGGCUCAGCAGAAAUGAAUCUGACCAGUAUCCAUGAGGAUGCAGCUUCAAUUCAUGGCCUCGCUCAGUGGGUUAAGGAUCCAGCAUUGCUGUGGCUGUGGUACUCUGAGUCUCUGACUUGCUUCAAGUGCCCCCACUGGGUACACCCCUAAAUCUUCUAAUUUGUGCAUUCUCCAAUGCAGAAAUUAUCUAAACGCCUCUGAGUUCUCUGGGAAAAUUUAAAUAAAUUGCAAAUUCCUAGACUUCAGCCCUGGAGGUUCAAUUCCGGUAGAUGGGGGUGUAUGGAAUCUGCAUUCUCCCACCUCAACCCCCACCUCUCUUGCCUUCCUCCAGGUGGCAAUGGCUCAGCCAGGGUUGGGAAGCACAGUUCCUGUGACCUCUCCCCACUGUGGACUAUUCUAGUUAGUAAUCACCCAGACUCUGCUGGAUCACUUCCUGGGAUGGCAGAGAGAAGCCCCCAGAGGUCUGCUGCCCAUUGGAAAGUUCUGCUGGUUAGAAAUUUCUUUUGGUCAUUAGCUUCAGUUUAGCUUUCCUAAUGCUACUGGUCUUGGUUCUGCUCUCUGAAGCACCUUAAAACAAGGUCGAAUGGCAG